This 449-nucleotide ribosomal RNA is filed under the name uncultured bacterium. RNAcentral's name for it is "bacterial SSU rRNA". It matches the Rfam family "Bacterial small subunit ribosomal RNA", at positions 355 to 796 of the family's 1533-position model. The record is from RNAcentral.
UGGGGAAUAUUGGACAAUGGGCGAAAGCCUGAUCCAGCAAUGCCGCGUGUGUGAAGAAGGCCUUCGGGUUGUAAAGCACUUUUAGCGAGGAGGAAAUGCUUAGAGCUAAUACCUCUGAGAUAUGACGUUACUCGCAGAAAAAGCACCGGCAAACUCUGUGCCAGCAGCCGCGGUAAUACAGAGGGUGCAAGCGUUAAUCGGAAUUACUGGGCGUAAAGCGCGCGUAGGCGGAUCUUUAAGUCGAGUGUGAAAUCCCCGGGCUUAACCUGGGAACUGCAUUCGAUACUGAAAAUCUAGAGUAUGGUAGAGGAAAGUGGAAUUCCCGGUGUAGCAGUGAAAUGCGUAGAUAUCGGGAGGAACACCAGUGGCGAAGGCGGCUUUCUGGACCAAUACUGACGCUGAGGUGCGAAAGCGUGGGGAGCAAACAGGAUUAGAUACCCCCGUAGUCC